This 499-nucleotide ribosomal RNA is filed under the name uncultured bacterium. RNAcentral describes it as "partial 16S ribosomal RNA". It matches the Rfam family "Bacterial small subunit ribosomal RNA", at positions 28 to 507 of the family's 1533-position model. The record is from RNAcentral.
GACGAACGCUGGCGGCGUGCCUAAUACAUGCAAGUCGAGCGAAGUUUUUCUGGUGCUUGCACCGGAAAAACUUAGCGGCGAACGGGUGAGUAACACGUAAAGAACCUGCCUCAUAGACUGGGACAACUAUUGGAAACGAUAGCUAAUACCGGAUAACAGCAUUAACUGCAUGGUUGAUGUUUGAAAGUUGGUUUUGCUAACACUAUGAGAUGGCUUCGCGGUGCAUUAGCUAGUUGGUGGGGUAAAGGCCUACCAAGGCGACGAUGCAUAGCCGACCUGAGAGGGUGAUCGGCCACACUGGGACUGAGACACGGCCCAGACUCCUACGGGAGGCAGCAGUAGGGAAUCUUCCGCAAUGGGCGAAAGCCUGACGGAGCAACGCCGCGUGAGUGAAGAAGGAUUUCGGUUCGUAAAGCUCUGUUGUUAGGGAAGAAUGAUUAUGUAGUAACUAUACAUAGUAGGGACGGUACCUAACCAGAAAGCCACGGCUAACUACGUG